This is a long non-coding RNA of Papaver somniferum (opium poppy), 539 nucleotides long. RefSeq lists it as uncharacterized. Lineage: Eukaryota; Viridiplantae; Streptophyta; Magnoliopsida; Ranunculales; Papaveraceae. The transcript is spliced from 2 exons. The record is from RefSeq and is a predicted model, not a curated record.
AAACCCACAGACAAACUCUCUCGUAUAGAGACUAUCACUAGACACACAAAUCCGAAAACUAAAUCUCUCUUUCUUCUCUUUCUACAAAACUAGGGUUUGGGGAAUUUUGUUUUGAGAAUCAUCGAUUCUGCAUUGCUGUUUUCAUCAUGGAACAAGAUCACCUCCUAAAGAGAUGCAUAUUCUCACCAAGGUUCAAAGAUGAGAAUCAUGCUUGCCAUAAGACUGAUGCGUUGUUCCAGCAUUUUUAAUGAAAGAGUUGUGUUAAAACUUAUGGAGUCUAUGUACUGAUAAGUAAGUAGAAGUUGAAGUAGGGAAUGAAGCCAAUGGUCCGGUCUCCUAUAUAUAUCUGUAUCAUAUUUACAAUUACAUGUAAUGGAUUCAGUUGUUCCAGAAUUAUUUGGAUCUGACUGCAUCAUUUUGAAUAUGUAUCCUCUUUAUUGUUUUUUAUCUUUAACUUGUCCUGUCAUUGAAUAUUUGAAACUAUGCAUCUAAAAUUUAUGCAUCUUUAAUGAAAGUGAAUUCCGACUGAAUUAGGUUAA